UACAGAGGGUGCGAGCGUUAAUCGGAGUUACUGGGCGUAAAGGGCGCGUAGGCGGUUAGUUAAGAUUGGUGUGAAAUCCCUGGGCUUAACCUAGGAACUGCAUUGAUUACUGAUUAGCUAGAGUACUGUAGAGGGUAGUGGAAUUUCCGGUGUAGCGGUGAAAUGCGUAGAGAUCGGAAGGAACACCAGUGGCGAAGGCGGCUACCUGGACAGAUACUGACGCUGAGGCGCGAGAGCGUGGGGAGCAAACAGG
RNAcentral lists this ribosomal RNA (253 nucleotides) under uncultured bacterium. RNAcentral describes it as "partial 16S ribosomal RNA". It matches the Rfam family "Bacterial small subunit ribosomal RNA", at positions 524 to 776 of the family's 1533-position model. The record is from RNAcentral.